AUUGAACGCUGGCGGAAUGCUUUACACAUGCAAGUCGAACGGUAGAGGGGGCAACCCCUCGAGAGUGGCGAACGGGUGAGUAAUAUAUCGGAACGUGCCCAGUCGUGGGGGAUAACGCAGCGAAAGUUACGCUAAUACCGCAUACGAUCUAAGGAUGAAAGCGGGGGAUCGCAAGACCUCGUGCGAUUGGAGCGGCCGAUAUCAGAUUAGGGAGUUGGUGGGGUAAAGGCUCACCAAGCCAACGAUCUGUAGCUGGUCUGAGAGGACGACCAGCCACACUGGAACUGAUACACGGUCCAGGCUCCUACGGGAGGCAGCAGUGGGGAAUUUUGGACAACGGACGCAAGUCUGAUCCAGCCAUUCCGCGUGCAGGAUGAAGGCCCUCGGGUUGUAAACUGCUUUUGUACGGAACGAAAAGGUCUCUCUUAAUACGGGGGACUCAUGACGGUACCGUAAGAGUAAGCACCGGCUAACUACGUGCCAGCAGCCGCCGCCG
RNAcentral lists this ribosomal RNA (496 nucleotides) under uncultured bacterium. RNAcentral's name for it is "partial 16S ribosomal RNA". It matches the Rfam family "Bacterial small subunit ribosomal RNA", at positions 30 to 523 of the family's 1533-position model. The record is from RNAcentral.